Mesocricetus auratus (golden hamster) is the source of this 1542-nucleotide long non-coding RNA. RefSeq lists it as uncharacterized. The transcript is spliced from 3 exons. NCBI's taxonomy places the organism in Eukaryota, Metazoa, Chordata, Mammalia, Rodentia, Cricetidae. The record is from RefSeq and is a predicted model, not a curated record.
GACGGGAAACAUGGCUUCUGGGAAAAGCUGACUCAGCUCAUCUUCCGCUCUGAUCUCCGCCAGCGAGCGCACAGCUGGAACAGACGUAAUAAAGAGGACAAGGGGUCGGUCACUCCGCCUGCCGGCCCGGAACACCAGAGGUGACCCGAACCUUCAGAAUUCUGCGUCAGCUGCUGAGCUUUCCAUCCCAGACAGCCACCCAGCCUUUCCGGGCAGGUCACGGGAGAGCAGUCCAUAUCGUUACCUGACUUUAAAGGCCACGUGCACUGGCCACAGGAAAGCGGGAUUUUCUUAUGAUAAUGUGGUUUCUGUCAUAUGUGCCACCCUCUGGGCUAGAUCUGCUGACUUCCUUAAAGCAAUUCGUAUUACCGACUUAUGCUACCGGUUGCAGGCACAGCCAUGUCGAGGACCAAUGCCUUGGGCCCACAGGAAACUGGCAAAAGCCUUCCUCGGGUCAGGCUCAGAAUGGCACAGCCGCCCUGAAGUCCAAGCGCACGUGUUUAUGAGUGACUCGCCAGUGUGUGCAGAAACCAGCAGCUGCGGCUUCCUCCUCCAGGGUGUUUACAGCCUGAGACUGCCGCCUACCGUGUCUAGCUAACUCCUCCCCCUGUGCCGUCCACAGCAAACACGCCGGGGUUCUGGGCUGCUGAAGUAGUUGGUGCCGUGUACCAGAGCGUACAGGCCCUGUGAUCCCAGCUUUCCUGUGUCUGUGGGUCCAUCUUUUCUCUCACUGCCCCUAGCUGGGAGUAUUUGGCUCAGUAUAUUAAGGCAGCCAAGUAACGCCACUCAGCAGGCCUUUCUCCAGCAAUACUAUGUAACAGGCCUUUCUUCACCCCCGUUUCCCUAGUACUCCGAGCGUGUCAUUCCACCUGCAGGAGAGGCCCCCGAGGAAGAGUGCAGGCUAUUAGGCAUGUAAUAGCCGAGGACCGGUGGAGAAGACUGAUUAACUUGGAGGUUUCCUCAGUACAUACAGGAGGCAGGGUCGGAUCCCUGCCCUCUGACCCUGCUGCCUCCCUGACAAAGACAAACACUCGGAAAUAAGGCAGGACCGGUGAGUCGCAUUCGGAGCCCAGGCAAGCUAAGAGUGGGUCAUGAGCCGGCUGGGCCUGGCCUCUUGGAAUUAUAGGGAUCUAGGUCUAUCUAUCUAUCUAAAGGGUACCGGGGCUGCCUCUCUCUCCCCGGAGGCCUGGCCAGGAGCAGUCAGAGUCCCUGCAAAUGGACCUUCAUCUUUUUCCGCUAGUGGUGGUGACAAGCCAGGUUACCCUAGUUGUUAAGAAAUUAAUUUCCGAAUGCUGCCUACCUACUGUGGAAAACACAGCGCACCGCCUAGAACGGAGUCUCGGGCUUACAAUUUUGGAACAUGCAGGAAGCUAAAGCAGAAGAAUUGCUGCAAACUGGAGUAUAGCCUGGGCUAUAUACAGUGUGGGAGCUGUCCCAGAACACCAAGUAAACAAAGGAACUGGGUAGAAAAGACGGCCGCUCCUCUAUGGAGGUGUCCCUGCAGCUCCGCCCCCCAAGCCCCCCCCGUGUGUUACCUUUCCU